This 567-nucleotide long non-coding RNA is filed under the name Dromaius novaehollandiae (emu). RNAcentral describes it as "lncRNA (ENSDNVG00000004100.1)". The record is from RNAcentral. Lineage: Eukaryota; Metazoa; Chordata; Aves; Casuariiformes; Dromaiidae.
UCUUGUAGCCUGAAUACGUGCGUGGGGAUGUGUUUCGAGUGAUGGUAUGAUGCAAACGACUGAGAGAGCCACAUGGGACAGCCAGGCCUGGGUUUGCUGCCGCUUCUGUCAGAAGCGCUCGGAGGUGCCGCAGGCGCGAAAGCCCGGGCAGCGACRCUGCGUCCGGCCCUGCUCCCGCCGGCUCGGGCUGUGCCGGAUGCCCCGGGUGGAUCCAGCCCUGGGGUAKAUCUGUCUGCCUCGGUUUCCAGUCCUAAACGAGGAAUGUCAUCUCGAARCUGUGCCCUUGCUCUCGGUGUUGUGUCGCUGUGCUCGCUGGCGCUGGGAAGAGCAAGUGCCACGUAACUAGACUUUUCUCUACAUCUCUAUGCAGACUGUGGCCAGACCAGAAAAAAUCUGAAGAAAAGCUAUAGGGCAAGAGUGAUAUUCGGAUAUGCUUAUUGCACCUGCAGGAGUUAAGUAGAGCUUAAUAGUCCCAGGUAUCACAUUUCUGUGCUCAGCUGAUUCUCUGAAACCAUAACACAUUAUAUGCUGUAAGCACUAAAUACCAUUAUUAUUCUACAGAUUAUG